Molecule: long non-coding RNA, 3245 nt
Filed under: Eutrema salsugineum
Lineage: Eukaryota; Viridiplantae; Streptophyta; Magnoliopsida; Brassicales; Brassicaceae
Description: long non-coding RNA (ESAL_LNC000609)
Source: RNAcentral
AAGAUUUAUCAAAGCAUCAUCUUCAACACUACACACACAUACAGCCUCUCUCUAUUUCCUCGCUUCUAAUUAGUAAGGUACCGUGAAGGAGAAGAAAGAAAGAGAUAAGGACAAAUAUGGGAAUCCUUUUUGAAGAAACCUUGAGCUCUAACGGUAAAACCCAAAUUGUUAUUGAUGAUGAUAAUGAGUUGGGUUUGGUGGCCGUGAGACUAGCCAAUGCUGCAGCCUUCCCAAUGGUUCUCAAAGCUUCCCUCGAGCUCGGUGUCUUCGACACUCUCUAUGCCGCCUCUGAGUUCCUCUCACCUUCCGAAAUAGCGAGCCGGCUACCAACCACACCUCGCAACCCUGGGGCGCCGGUUUUGUUGGAUCGUAUGCUUCGUCUACUCGCUAGCUACUCCAUGGUCAAGUGCGGUACGGUCCAAGCCGGAAAGGGCGAGAGGGUCUACAAAGCCGAGCCGAUUUGCAGGUUUUUCUUGAAGGAUAACAUUCAAGAUAUUGGAUCGCUUGCUUCUCAAGUCAUUGUCAAUUUCGACAGCGUCUUCCUUAAUACCUGGUAUUUUUCUAUUCAUCGAUUGAGAUGUUUUAAAACAUUCAAAUUAAACCAUGAAUCUUAUGUUAUGGAUACGCUGUUUUCACAGGGCACAAUUGAAAGAUGUGGUGCUAGAAGGAGGAGAUGCGUUUGGCCGUGCACAUGGUGGGAUGAAAAUCUUCGACUAUAUGGGCACAGAUGAGAGAUUCAGCAAACUCUUUAACCAGACCGGAUUCACCAUCGCUGUUGUGAAGAAGGCUCUUGAAGUUUACCAAGGCUUCAAAGGUGUGAAUGUUUUGGUUGAUGUAGGAGGAGGAGUUGGUAACACUCUUGGUGUAGUUACUUCGAAGUAUCCUAACAUUAAAGGUAUCAAUUUUGAUCUGCCUUGUGCCUUGGCACAAGCACCUUCUUACCUUGGGGUAGAACAUGUCGCCGGAGAUAUGUUUGUUGAUAUCCCAACCGGAGAUGCCAUGAUCUUGAAAGUAAGUCCAACAACCCUCUUAUUUUAACACAUACUUACUAGAAGUGUAUGUAUGUUGUACAUUGUGCUUACUUUUUGGGAUUAAAUUUGUUUUACAGCGUAUACUUCAUGACUGGACCGACGAAGACUGCGUAAAGAUUCUUAAAAACUGUUGGAAAUCACUUCCUGAAAACGGUAAAGUUGUUGUCAUAGAAUUAGUCACUCCUGAUGAGGCAGAAAAUGGGGACAUCAACGCGAACAUUGCCUUUGAUAUGGACAUGUUGAUGUUCACACAAUGUUCCGGCGGAAAAGAGAGAUCACGAGCUGAGUUUGAAGCUUUAGCCAUGGAAUCAGGCUUUACACAUUGCAAGUUCGUUUGUCCCGCUUACCACUGUUGGAUUAUUGAGUUUUGCAAAGAAAAUGUUUAAAAAUAUAAUGAGGAAUCCUCAUGCAUCAAUUGUUAAUUUCAUCUUCGCUUUAUUCCUUGUUUGCGAUGAUCAUGCCUUUGUCCUUGUCUUCAAUGCAAUGAAAUAAAAAUAAGCUUUUAGAUUUAUUUUUUAACAGUCCACUCGCUGAAAAAUAACGGCUAGCUACUUCUCUAUUUUAAUGUUUCAAUUUUUCUAUUAUCAUGCAUAUGUUUGAAAGAAUCUUUUCAUAAUAAAUUAAUAUUCUAAUAAUGUAGUCUUUUAAGAAUACAGUUUUAAGUAUAAGAUAUCAUAUAUGAUGGGACGAAUAUCCGAUAAAAAAGAAACUGAGUCAAUUUUAAGGUUUUAUCCUUGGUAACUAUAAAUUCGGAAGGUGUGUGCAACGAUUAUAAAAAAUGCCACGAUACGAGCAUAGUAGUGUACAUAAAAUCCACGAUAAUGUUUGAUAUUUAUCUCUAUAUACACUUCUAUGCUCGUAUCGUGGAUUUUAUGUUCAUAAUUAAUUAAUUAAAGAUCUUUUAAAAAUAAAUAAAUUAAUUAAAGAUGUAUUUAAGUUUACUGAUAAGGUUAAGUUGUAGGAGUUAAAAUUUAGAUAAGUAAGAAAAUUACAAUUGAUGGAAUUACAAUGUUCGUAUAUGGUUUUGGAGGAAAAUGAAAAAUAGAGUUUAUUUUAUUGUUAUGUCAUUGAUUUAAAUUGUCUUUCUUUCCCCAGAAAUAUGCAACCUUCUUAUCCAUCCAUAACAACUCAUCAGUCAUCAGGCUCACUCACCUACCACCGUAAUAACCAUGCAAAGACAAAGGCAAUUUCAGUCACACACGUAACAACUUUGUAAUUUACUUAAAUUGGUCCAUUAUAUGGUUACUCUUUGAAUUUUAAGUUUUCUUAUGAUUAUUGAUCUAAUUAACCCAAAACUAUAUAAGUAAAAAUGAAGUUUGACAAUCCAAAACUCGUGACCUUCCUAGAAGGCCGAUUCAAGAUGGAGGCCAUAGAGGACAAGCGUGAUGUUUACACUCACUUCGGUCCAAAUUACAGCAGAUAUAUUAUCCUACUAAAGAAAAAUAAAAUAAAGAUUUCCGUAUUUUUCUUGUCCUUCCUAUGUCGCAAUCGUUCAAAUCAAGUUGGAGACUUGGAGCUAUGCGUUUCUCUGCGUAUUAUAAUUUAUUUUAUUAUUAUGCGAUCAAACUGAAGAACAAAAUAAAUAAGAUAUUUGCUUAUUAUUUUAUUUUCUUUUAUAACCGAUAUUUGCGAACGUAAUAUACACUUUUAUAGUCACUUGGUCUACCAUAGUGAUGAAAUUAAAGUGACUGUCGUCUCCUUUGAACAUUGACUUUUCAAAACCAAUUGACUUGAAACAAGAUUUAGCUGUUUCAGCCGCAACAAGGGCCUCUUACUUUUCCACAUCGAGACUAUUCAGCCAGCCAAGUGGACCGGCACGCCAACGAUAUAAUUCAAUGAAUACAAUAAAUUUAGUUAAAAUAAUAUGAGGAGGCUAUAAAGCCUUAGCUAUAAAAGGAGAAAUCAUCUUCAUCAACACUACAAAUAAGAAACACACAUACACAGCCUCUCUCUCCCUAUCUAUCUUUCCUCGCUUCUGAUCAGAGUGAUCACGUACGGUACCGUGAAAGAGAAGAAAGAAAAAAAUGGGAAUCCUUUUUGAAGAAACCUUGAGCUCUAACCCCCAAACCCAAAUUGUUAUUGAUGAUGAUGAUAAUGAGUUGGGAUUGAUGGCCGUGAGACUAGCCAAUGCUGCAGCCUUUCCAAUGGUUCUCAAAGCUUCCCUCGAGCUCGGUGUCUUUGACACUCUCUAUGCCGCCUCUGAGUUCCUCUCAC